Molecule: ribosomal RNA, 804 nt
Filed under: Triticum aestivum (bread wheat)
Lineage: Eukaryota; Viridiplantae; Streptophyta; Magnoliopsida; Poales; Poaceae
Description: partial small subunit ribosomal RNA
Source: RNAcentral
AUGCACCUGGAGAAGGUGCCAGGGCCGGAUGGAUUCACCGAACAAUUUUUUAGAUCGUGCUGGGAGAUAGUCAAAAGUGAUUUGCUAAAGGCUAUCAGAAAGUUACAAUCUUGCAAUGGACAGAAUCUGCAGCCCCUCAACACUGCCACGAUGAUUCUUAUCCCAAAGACCAACGGAGCCUGCCACCCGAAAGACUUCCGGCCCAUCUCCCUCAUCCACAGCUUCGCAAAAAAUUAUGCCAAAAUCCUUGCAACUAGACUCCCAGCAGUCAUCCCCAACAUCAUCAGCCCCUGCCAAAAUGCCUUCAUACAUGGAAGAAGCAUCCAUGAUAACUUCACCUACGUCCAAAGCCUUGUCAAAGCCCUAAAGCAAAAGAAUAUCCCAUCCAUUCUCCUCAAACUAGAUAUAUCCAAAGCCUUUGACUCAGUUUCUUGGGAAUUUCUCCUAAAGUUACUCACUGCCCGCGGUUUUGGGUACAUUUGGACGGAUGGAAUUGCCACCCUUCUUCGCACAAGCACCACCCAAAUCCUUGUCAAUGGUGAGCUAACCCAAAACAUCAUACAUAGAAAAGGAUUGAGACAAGGGGAUCCAUUGUCGCCACUUUUAUUCGUCCUCGUAAUGGAUUGCCUUGCGCGGAUCAUGGACAGGGCCCACAACAAUAUAAUCCUUCCCACACUGAACCCACAACAUGUGAAAUUUAGAGCUUCUCUGUAUGUAGAUGAUGUGAUCAUCUUCUUAAAGCCACAGCUUGCUGACAUGGAGGCCACUAGCCAGAUCAUGAGGCUGUUUGGAGAAGUAACAUGA